Small nuclear RNA from Sphaeramia orbicularis (orbiculate cardinalfish), 103 nucleotides. Lineage: Eukaryota; Metazoa; Chordata; Actinopteri; Kurtiformes; Apogonidae. The record is from Ensembl.
AUGUACGCUAACACAUGUACUUAAAUGACAAUGAUACAGAGUAGAUUAGCAUGGCCACUUGCAUAAAGAUGACAUGCCAAACUGUGAAGCAUUCCUCAUUUUU